RNAcentral lists this long non-coding RNA (233 nucleotides) under Lathyrus oleraceus (garden pea). Its description in RNAcentral is "Pisum sativum (pea) long non-coding RNA (PSAT_LNC015408)". Lineage: Eukaryota; Viridiplantae; Streptophyta; Magnoliopsida; Fabales; Fabaceae. The record is from RNAcentral.
UUUAUUUAAUUUACAAUAUAGAUUAAGAAUUCUAGAUGAGUAUAUUUGUUAGUAAGAAAAUAAUAUUAAUUGUUAUUGUUUACAAAAAAAAAAAGAAGAAUAAAUUUGCAUAUUGGAUUCUUAGAAAGAUUACCAUUGGAUUCUCUCUGGCUGUUGCCAGCUCACAGGCCAAUAAUUUCCUCUUACAUAGACACGCGUCUUCCUCCUCUCUCACAAAACACUCACUAUUUUAU